Molecule: unclassified non-coding RNA, 189 nt
Filed under: fungal sp.
Lineage: Eukaryota; Fungi
Description: partial internal transcribed spacer region
Rfam family: Eukaryotic small subunit ribosomal RNA (bases 1-46)
Source: RNAcentral
AAGUCGUAACAAGGUUUCCGUAGGUGAACCUGCGGAAGGAUCAUUACAAAUCUUUGCUCGAGCUGCCGCAAGGUGGUGAGAGACAUUAGCACAAGGCCGCAAGGUCUUGAUGUUCACGCUUGUAUGUUUGACAGAGUUUAUUUGUGACUAUAAUAAUGACAACUUUUAACAAUGGAUCUCUUGGCUCUU